RNAcentral lists this ribosomal RNA (253 nucleotides) under uncultured bacterium. RNAcentral describes it as "partial 16S ribosomal RNA". It matches the Rfam family "Bacterial small subunit ribosomal RNA", at positions 524 to 776 of the family's 1533-position model. The record is from RNAcentral.
UACGUAGGGGGCAAGCGUUGUCCGGAAUCAUUGGGCGUAAAGCGCGUGUAGGCGGUCCGGUAAGUCCGCUGUGAAAGUCGGGGGCUCAACCCUCGGAUGCCGGUGGAUACUGUCGGGCUUGAGUACGGAAGAGGCGAGUGGAAUUCCUGGUGUAGCGGUGAAAUGCGCAGAAAUCAGGAGGAACACCGGUGGCGAAGGCGGGUCUCUGGGCCGAUACUGACGCUGAGGAGCGAAAGCGUGGGGAGCAAACAGG